CCCUUGACAUGUCAAGAAUCUUGCAGAGAUGUGAGAGUGCUCGAAAGAGAACUUGAACACAGGUGCUGCAUGGCCGUCGUCAGCUCGUGUCGUGAGAUGUUGGGUUAAGUCCCGCAACGAGCGCAACCCUUGUCAUUAGUUGCUACGAAAGGGCACUCUAAUGAGACUGCCGGUGACAAACCGGAGGAAGGUGGGGAUGACGUCAGGUCCUCAUGGCCCUUAUGGGUAGGGCUACACACGUCAUACAAUGGCCGGUACAGAGGGCUGCCAACCCGCGAGGGGGAGCCAAUCCCAGAAAACCGGUCGUAGUCCGGAUCGCAGUCUGCAACUCGACUGCGUGAAGUCGGAAUCGCUAGUAAUCGCGGAUCAGCUUGCCGCGGUGAAUACGUUCCCGGGUCUU
RNAcentral lists this ribosomal RNA (400 nucleotides) under uncultured Aquabacterium sp. RNAcentral's name for it is "bacterial SSU rRNA". It matches the Rfam family "Bacterial small subunit ribosomal RNA", at positions 978 to 1382 of the family's 1533-position model. Lineage: Bacteria; Pseudomonadati; Pseudomonadota; Betaproteobacteria; Burkholderiales; Sphaerotilaceae. The record is from RNAcentral.